RNAcentral lists this long non-coding RNA (1349 nucleotides) under Salvia miltiorrhiza (redroot sage). RNAcentral describes it as "long non-coding RNA (SMIL_LNC007379)". Lineage: Eukaryota; Viridiplantae; Streptophyta; Magnoliopsida; Lamiales; Lamiaceae. The record is from RNAcentral.
UGGCUUGUAUAAUAUCAGCUUCGAAACUCAUAAACUAUUACGAAACUCAUAAACUGUGUCCAUCCAGUUGUUUUCAAUACACCUCUCUCUCUCUAAACGCGGACUUUCUUCUCCGACUGCUCCGGCGCCGUUUCACCACGACUCAUAUCCUUCCAUUUUCUCCCCUUCUGAUGAUUCUUGUGCAGCAAUUUGUGAAGAUUUUUAUAUCGGGAAAUUAUUAAUCUGCUAAUCGCUAACCCUACAGAUUUUAAUUAAUUUCUCUACGGUAUCUUUUUAUUUUCUUAAAAUUUGGUGUUGUUGUAUUCUUAACUAUAAGUAACGAGGAAAUCAAAGGGAAAAGAUCGAGAAAGUGCUCAAGCUCGUAAUGCCAAAGGCAAAAUUAAAGAUGAUGGGUUGACCCCUGAGCAGCGUCGUGAAAGGUGCCCCUGUUUUGAUAUUAUGUUCUGAUUUUUACCAGAUUCUAUUUUUUCUUGUUUUAGUUUAAUUUUUUGAUAUGAUCUGAAUGCCAUGGUGAUUGUUGUAGUAUACAAUAUGGUGUUAUGCUUCAAGAUUUACCUAAUUCAUCGUGUUUCCAGCCUCGUUGAUUUGUAAAUAUCUGUAUUCAGUUGUAAUGUGUGAGAUUAAUUUUCUGUAGAGCCAGCCUUGUUCCUUGAUUGAUGUAUUGGUAUUUACUGAUAUGCAGAUUUGGAUUAUUCGUUUCUACAAAAAUGUGAUUAUGAUUGUUAGAUUUGAUUAUUAGGUGAAUUUUUGAACAAACAUGACGUAUUUUGUUAUUUUUUUUUUUUAAUUAAUCUAUUGACAUAUGGUAUCAUCCUUGCUAUUAGAUUUGACAUUUAGAUGAAUUUAUGUACAAAAGACAUUAUUUAUGAUUGAGAAAUAGUAUUGCUGUGGCUGCUGGAUUUAACAUUUAGAUGACGAUAAGUAGCUGGUGUGGCACACACCAAUUCAGUUAUUUCUUUGGUAGUUGGAUCUUUUAUCUAAUAAUAUCAUGCUUUCGUGUCUGCCCUUGUGAUCAAACAGAGACGCGAAGGCGCUUCAGGAGAAGACCGCGAAGAAGGCAGCUCAGGCGGCAGGGGGGUAGUGAUGCUGGAGGUAAGAGCAUCAAAAAAUAGGGAAUUCUCUGGUUGAUGAUUUUCUCGAUUCGAGUUAUUGUAACCCUCUCGUAAACUCUUCUGUGUUUUCAUAUGUAAUGGUGAACUAUCAUUCUAUGGCACUCUUUUCCAAUGAAGUAUAAGUGAAGAAAUACUACAAUUGUUAUCUAUUACUAUCUUUAAGGUUUUGAGUUUAGUUGCCGCUAGCAUAACAUGCAUAAUUUUGUUUGAUAUAUGUCUGAAAUAUAUAAGAUAAGG